UACAGAGGCCUCGAGCGUUGUUCGGAAUUACUGGGCGUAAAGGGAAUGUAGGUGGUGACGUAAGUCAGAUGUGAAAGCCCUGGGCUUAACCUGGGAAGUGCAUUUGAUACUGCGUUGCUUGAGUGCAAGAGAGGAAAGCGGAAUUCCCAGUGUAGGAGUGAAAUCCGUAGAUAUUGGGAGGAAUACCGAUGGCGAAGGCAGCUUUCUGGCUUGUAACUGACACUGAGAUUCGAAAGCGUGGGUAGCAAACAGG
This 253-nucleotide ribosomal RNA is filed under the name uncultured bacterium. RNAcentral describes it as "partial 16S ribosomal RNA". It matches the Rfam family "Bacterial small subunit ribosomal RNA", at positions 524 to 776 of the family's 1533-position model. The record is from RNAcentral.